RNAcentral lists this ribosomal RNA (1369 nucleotides) under uncultured bacterium. RNAcentral describes it as "bacterial SSU rRNA". It matches the Rfam family "Bacterial small subunit ribosomal RNA", at positions 28 to 1381 of the family's 1533-position model. The record is from RNAcentral.
GACGAACGCUGGCGGCGUGCCUAAUACAUGCAAGUAGAACGCUGAAGAGAGGAGCUUGCUCUUCUUGGAUGAGUUGCGAACGGGUGAGUAACGCGUAGGUAACCUGCCUUGUAGCGGGGGAUAACUAUUGGAAACGAUAGCUAAUACCGCAUAACAAUGGAUGACACAUGUCAUUUAUUUGAAAGGGGCAAUUGCUCCACUACAAGAUGGACCUGCGUUGUAUUAGCUAGUAGGUGAGGUAACGGCUCACCUAGGCGACGAUACAUAGCCGACCUGAGAGGGUGAUCGGCCACACUGGGACUGAGACACGGCCCAGACUCCUACGGGAGGCAGCAGUAGGGAAUCUUCGGCAAUGGGGGCAACCCUGACCGAGCAACGCCGCGUGAGUGAAGAAGGUUUUCGGAUCGUAAAGCUCUGUUGUAAGUCAAGAACGAGUGUGAGAGUGGAAAGUUCACACUGUGACGGUAGCUUACCAGAAAGGGACGGCUAACUACGUGCCAGCAGCCGCGGUAAUACGUAGGUCCCGAGCGUUGUCCGGAUUUAUUGGGCGUAAAGCGAGCGCAGGCGGUUUGAUAAGUCUGAAGUUAAAGGCUGUGGCUCAACCAUAGUUCGCUUUGGAAACUGUCAAACUUGAGUGCAGAAGGGGAGAGUGGAAUUCCAUGUGUAGCGGUGAAAUGCGUAGAUAUAUGGAGGAACACCGGUGGCGAAAGCGGCUCUCUGGUCUGUAACUGACGCUGAGGCUCGAAAGCGUGAGGAGCGAACAGGAUUAGAUACCCUGGUAGUCCACGCCGUAAACGAUGAGUGCUAGGUGUUGGAUCCUUUCCGGGAUUCAGUGCCGCAGCUAACGCAUUAAGCACUCCGCCUGGGGAGUACGACCGCAAGGUUGAAACUCAAAGGAAUUGACGGGGGCCCGCACAAGCGGUGGAGCAUGUGGUUUAAUUCGAAGCAACGCGAAGAACCUUACCAGGUCUUGACAUCCCGAUGCUAUUUCUAGAGAUAGAAAGUUACUUCGGUACAUCGGUGACAGGUGGUGCAUGGUUGUCGUCAGCUCGUGUCGUGAGAUGUUGGGUUAAGUCCCGCAACGAGCGCAACCCCUAUUGUUAGUUGCCAUCAUUCAGUUGGGCACUCUAGCGAGACUGCCGGUAAUAAACCGGAGGAAGGUGGGGAUGACGUCAAAUCAUCAUGCCCCUUAUGACCUGGGCUACACACGUGCUACAAUGGUUGGUACAACGAGUUGCGAGUCGGUGACGGCAAGCUAAUCUCUUAAAGCCAAUCUCAGUUCGGAUUGUAGGCUGCAACUCGCCUACAUGAAGUCGGAAUCGCUAGUAAUCGCGGAUCAGCACGCCGCGGUGAAUACGUUCCCGGGCCU